Molecule: small nucleolar RNA, 139 nt
Organism: Sorghum bicolor (sorghum)
Lineage: Eukaryota; Viridiplantae; Streptophyta; Magnoliopsida; Poales; Poaceae
Rfam family: Small nucleolar RNA Z247
About the family: Z247 is a member of the C/D class of snoRNA which contain the C (UGAUGA) and D (CUGA) box motifs. Most of the members of the box C/D family function in directing site-specific 2'-O-methylation of substrate RNAs.
Source: Rfam
CGGCUUGAUGAUGAAGAACUGGUAGAGUAUAUACUCACCGGACUAGGAGAAGACUACACUUCUCUAGUCACAACCCUAACUGCUAGGGUCGAGCCCAUCACAGUUGGGGAGUUGUACUCACAACUUCUUAACUUUGAGA